RNAcentral lists this ribosomal RNA (1957 nucleotides) under gut metagenome. Its description in RNAcentral is "bacterial LSU rRNA". It matches the Rfam family "Bacterial large subunit ribosomal RNA", at positions 573 to 2538 of the family's 2925-position model. The record is from RNAcentral.
GUCGGAGCCGCUUCGUGCGGUGACGGCGUGCCUUUUGCAUAAUGAGCCUACGAGUUACUCAUCACCAGCGAGGUUAAGUACUUCAGGUACGUAAGCCGAAGCGAAAGCGAGUCUGAAUAGGGCGUCAAGUUGGUGGUGGUAGACGCGAAACCUUAGUGAUCUACCCAUGGGCAGGGUGAAGGUUUGGUAACACAAACUGGAGGCCCGAACCGGUAAACGUUGAAAAGUUUUCGGAUGACCUGUGGGUAGGGGUGAAAGGCCAAUCAAACUGGGAAAUAGCUCGUACUCUCCGAAAUGCAUUUAGGUGCAGCCUCUGUUGUUUUGUUCUAGAGGUAGAGCUACUGAUUGGAUGCGAGGGCUUCACCGCCUAUCAAAUCCGGCCAAACUCCGAAUGCUAGAACAUGAAGACAGGGAGUGAGCCAGCGGGUGCUAAGGUCCGUUGACGAAAGAGGGAGAACUCAGACCAUCAGCUAAGGUCCCCAAUUAUAUGCUAAGUUGGAAUUAAAACGGGGUGGGACUGCUUAGACAGCUAGGAUGUUGGCUUGGAAGCAGCCAUUCAUUUAAAGAGUGCGUAACAGCUCACUAGUCGAGCGGUCCUGCAUGGAUAAUACGCGGGCAUAAGCAUAUAACCGAAGCUAUGGGAUUGUAGAUGAUACAAUCGGUAGGAGAGCAUUCCAUUCAGCAUAGAAGCAGUACCGUGAGGUAUUGUGGAGCGGAUGGAAAAGCAAAUGUAGGCAUAAGUAACGAUAAUGCGGGUGAGAACCCCGCACGCCGAAAGAUCAAGGAUUCCCCGGCAAUGUCAAUCAUCCGGGGGUAAGUCGGAUCCUAAGGGUAAGCCGAGUGGCGAUCCCGAUGGUAAACAGGUUAAUAUUCCUGUACUGAUCAUAACUGCGAUGCAGCGACGCAGAGGUGACACUGCUGCGUACUGACGGAAUAGUACGUUGAAACCCGUAUUCUUUGAUACCGGUAGUGAAGCACGCCGGUAGAGAUGAAAGGUGAUAGUACCGCAAUGCUUCGGUUGCGCGGAUAACGCAGGUAAGCUGACUGCCAAGAAAACCUGCUAAGCUUCAGGUAAUGAUCAUCCGUACUGUAAACGGACACACGUGAUCAGGUAGAAAAUACUAAGGCGCUCGAGAGAUUCAUGGUUAAGGAACUAGGCAAAAUGGUCCUGUAACUUCGGGAUAAAGGACGCUCUUGUGAAAGAGCCGCAGAUAAUAGGCCCAGGCGACUGUUUACCAAAAACACAUGGCUAUGCUAAUUCGCAAGAAGAUGUAUAUGGCCUGACACCUGCCCGGUGCCGGAAGGUUAAGAGGAGAGCUCAGAGGCAACUCGAAGGUUUGAAUUGAAGCCCCGGUAAACGGCGGCCGUAACUAUAACGGUCCUAAGGUAGCGAAAUUCCUUGUCGGGUAAGUUCCGACCUGCACGAAUGGUGUAACGAUCUGGGUACUGUCUCAACCAUGAGCUCGGUGAAAUUGUAGUUCCGGUGAAGAUGCCGGAUACCCGCAACGGGACGGAAAGACCCCGUGAACCUUUACUGCAGCUUUGCAUUGAUUUUGGGUAACAGAUGUGUAGGAUAGGUCGGAGGCUUUGAUGCUGCGUCGUCAGGCGUAGAGUAGCCGUCGUUGAAAUACGACCCUUUUGUUAUCUGAGGUCUAAUCCCGUUAGGGAGACAUUGCAUGGUGGGUAGUUUGACUGGGGUGGUCGCCUCCAAAAGUGUAACGGAGGCUUCUCAAGGUACCCUCAAGGCGUUUGGUAAUCGUCUGCAGAGUGCAAUGGCAUAAGGGUGCUUGACUGUGAGACCGACACGUCGAUCAGGUUGGAAACAAGAGCAUAGUGAUCCGGUGGUUCCGCAUGGAAGGGCCAUCGCUCAAAGGAUAAAAGGUACUCCGGGGAUAACAGGCUGAUCGCUCCCAAGAGCUCAUAUCGACGGAGCGGUUUGGCACCUCGAUGUCGGCUC